GAUCUGGUGGUGUAGUGGUAACACGCCUGCUUUACGUUUUCACGAUGUUCAAUAGCACUUUGUGGAGGACUCCCUUGUUCGAAUCAAGGCCAGGCCA
Non-coding RNA from Mycena vulgaris, 97 nucleotides. Lineage: Eukaryota; Fungi; Basidiomycota; Agaricomycetes; Agaricales; Mycenaceae. The record is from the annotation of a GenBank genome assembly.